This is a transfer RNA of Rhizoctonia solani AG-1 IA, 82 nucleotides long. It matches the Rfam family "tRNA". Rfam says of the family: Transfer RNA (tRNA) molecules are approximately 80 nucleotides in length. Their secondary structure includes four short double-helical elements and three loops (D, anti-codon, and T loops). The record is from Rfam. Lineage: Eukaryota; Fungi; Basidiomycota; Agaricomycetes; Cantharellales; Ceratobasidiaceae.
GCCUGGCUAGCUCAAUCGGUAGAGCGUGAGACUCUUAAAUGACGUCAUCUCAAGGUUGUGGGUUCGACCCCCACGUUAGGCU